AGAGUUUGAUCCUGGCUCAGAUUGAACGCUGGCGGCAGGCCUAACACAUGCAAGUCGAACGGUAACAGGAAGCAGCUUGCUGCUUCGCUGACGAGUGGCGGACGGGUGAGUAAUGUCUGGGAAACUGCCUGAUGGAGGGGGAUAACUACUGGAAACGGUAGCUAAUACCGCAUAACGUCGCAAGACCAAAGAGGGGGACCUUCGGGCCUCUUGCCAUCGGAUGUGCCCAGAUGGGAUUAGCUAGUAGGUGGGGUAACGGCUCACCUAGGCGACGAUCCCUAGCUGGUCUGAGAGGAUGACCAGCCACACUGGAACUGAGACACGGUCCAGACUCCUACGGGAGGCAGCAGUGGGGAAUAUUGCACAAUGGGCGCAAGCCUGAUGCAGCCAUGCCGCGUGUAUGAAGAAGGCCUUCGGGUUGUAAAGUACUUUCAGCGGGGAGGAAGGGAGUAAAGUUAAUACCUUUGCUCAUUGACGUUACCCGCAGAAGAAGCACCGGCUAACUCCGUGCCAGCAGCCGCGGUAAUACGGAGGGUGCGAGCGUUAAUCGGAAUUACUGGGCGUAAAGCGCACGCAGGCGGUUUGUUAAGUCAGAUGUGAAAUCCCCGGGCUCAACCUGGGAACUGCAUCUGAUACUGGCAAGCUUGAGUCUCGUAGAGGGGGGUAGAAUUCCAGGUGUAGCGGUGAAAUGCGUAGAGAUCUGGAGGAAUACCGGUGGCGAAGGCGGCCCCCUGGACGAAGACUGACGCUCAGGUGCGAAAGCGUGGGGAGCAAACAGGAUUAGAUACCCUGGUAGUCCACGCCGUAAACGAUGUCGACUUGGAGGUUGUGCCCUUGAGGCGUGGCUUCCGGAGCUAACACGUUAAGUCGACCGCCUGGGGAGUACGGCCGCAAGGUUAAAACUCAAAUGAAUUGACGGGGGCCCGCACAAGCGGUGGAGCAUGUGGGUUAAUUCGAUGCAACGCGAAGAACCUUACCUGGUCUUGACAUCCACAGAACUUUCCAGAGAUGGAUUGGUGCCUUCGGGAACUGUGAGACAGGUGCUGCAUGGCUGUCGUCAGCUCGUGUUGUGAAAUGUUGGGUUAAGUCCCGCAACGAGCGCAACCCUUAUCCUUUGUUGCCAGCGGUCCGGCCGGGAACUCAAAGGAGACUGCCAGUGAUAAACUGGAGGAAGGUGGGGAUGACGUCAAGUCAUCAUGGCCCUUACGACCAGGGCUACACACGUGCUACAAUGGCGCAUACAAAGAGAAGCGACCUCGCGAGAGCAAGCGGACCUCAUAAAGUGCGUCGUAGUCCGGAUUGGAGUCUGCAACUCGACUCCAUGAAGUCGGAAUCGCUAGUAAUCGUGGAUCAGAAUGCCACGGUGAAUACGUUCCCGGGCCUUGCACACACCGCCCGUCA
Molecule: ribosomal RNA, 1401 nt
Filed under: uncultured bacterium
Lineage: Bacteria
Description: bacterial SSU rRNA
Rfam family: Bacterial small subunit ribosomal RNA
Source: RNAcentral